CUUGAAGAAUGUUAUAUGUGAGAUUAAUUUAAAAUAUUCUUUUAAGAGGUGUUUGGUAUGACUGUGAGAUCCGAAGAAAAUAAAUAAAUCUAAAUAUUAUUUUCUUAAUAAUAAUUAUUUUAUGAUUUUUGGGUAAUAUUAUGGUACAGUAAAUGGUGUUUUAUUUAGUUUAUAAAUUUUUUUAUGGUUGAUGUAUGGUGUUUAUGGUUGCUAAUUGUUCCUGGAAUCAAGCCUCC
This 236-nucleotide long non-coding RNA is filed under the name Vigna radiata. RNAcentral describes it as "long non-coding RNA (VRAD_LNC011026)". The record is from RNAcentral. Lineage: Eukaryota; Viridiplantae; Streptophyta; Magnoliopsida; Fabales; Fabaceae.